CCUACGGGUGGCAGCAGUGGGGAAUAUUGGACAAUGGGCGAAAGCCUGAUCCAGCCAUGCCGCGUGUGUGAAGAAGGCCUUCGGGUUGUAAAGCACUUUCAGUGGGGAAGAAAGCCUUGGGGCUAAUACCCUCGAGGAAGGACAUCACCCACAGAAGAAGCACCGGCUAACUCCGUGCCAGCAGCCGCGGUAAUACGGAGGGUGCGAGCGUUAAUCGGAAUUACUGGGCGUAAAGCGCGCGUAGGCGGUCUGAUAAGCCGGUUGUGAAAGCCCCGGGCUCAACCUGGGAACGGCAUCCGGAACUGUCAGGCUAGAGUGCAGGAGAGGAAGGUAGAAUUCCCUGUGUAGCGGUGAAAUGCGUAGAGAUCGGGAGGAAUACCAGUGGCGAAGGCGGCCUUCUGGACUGACACUGACGCUGAGGUGCGAAAGCGUGGGUAGCAAACAGGAUUAGAUACCCGAGUAGUC
RNAcentral lists this ribosomal RNA (465 nucleotides) under Vreelandella stevensii. RNAcentral describes it as "partial 16S ribosomal RNA". It matches the Rfam family "Bacterial small subunit ribosomal RNA", at positions 338 to 795 of the family's 1533-position model. Lineage: Bacteria; Pseudomonadati; Pseudomonadota; Gammaproteobacteria; Oceanospirillales; Halomonadaceae. The record is from RNAcentral.